AUGGAGGAAAAAGAUCAGCAAACUACCGGAAAAAACAUUAGGUCUUACAACUCCAUGUUUGCAUUCACAUCAAUGGGGGUUACUUUAGAUAAGAAAAUAAAUAAAGGGCAUGGACCUUAUGUUUUCCGACUGAAUGGCCAGAACCGCCACCAGAUAGGUACCCUGCUACCUCAAGAAGGAAAUAAGCCUCGUUUCCAGCAGUUGUAUAUCUAUGACACGAAUAAUGAGAUCCAUAACAGGGUAGAAGCAUCAAGAUCUGGUGGACGUGAUGGCUCACUAGAUGAAACAAUUGUCAGUGGCCUACUAAGCAUGCUCGACGAGAAUAACACACUAGCACAAUCAUUCCGAAUGGCAAGAGAUAGAUUUAAAGAAGACGACUACGACAACUUCACUCUACGUUUACUUGGCAACAGGGAUCAAGAUGGGAGGCAAGAUAACAUGCCAUCAACAUCGGAAGUUGCUGCACUUAUAGUCAAAGAUCCAACCCAAAAACAUUAUGUGCGUGACAUUGUUCUCGAGUACAAAGAUAUGAAACCUAAAAGAAUUUCAGAAAUCCAUCCAAAAUUCAUGGCCAUGCAAUACCCAUUGCUCUUCCCAUAUGGAGAAGAUGGUUAUAGACUUGGAAUCAAAUACAACAAAAAGAAAGGUGCAAGUAACAAGAAAUAUAUCACCAUGCUGGAAUACUAUGCAUAUCAUCUCCAACAGCGCCCAGGUCAGUCAAUGUUGCUGCUAACAUGUGGAAAUCUAUCAAUGCAGUUCAUAGUAGAUGUCUAUACAUGCAUCGAACAGUGUAGGCUCGAUUGGUUCAGAAAAAAUCAAGGAAAAUUAAGAACAGAACUUUAUGAUGGACUACACGACGCAUUCAGAAAAGGAGACACACUGACAGAGCUAGUAGGGAGGAGAAUAGUACUCCCAGCAAGUUUCACAGGAAGUCCUCGAAACAUAGAGCAGAACUACCAAGAUGUGAUUGCAAUAUGCUGGAAAUCCUGA
RNAcentral lists this ribosomal RNA (990 nucleotides) under Triticum aestivum (bread wheat). RNAcentral describes it as "partial small subunit ribosomal RNA". Lineage: Eukaryota; Viridiplantae; Streptophyta; Magnoliopsida; Poales; Poaceae. The record is from RNAcentral.